RNAcentral lists this ribosomal RNA (754 nucleotides) under uncultured Nitrososphaerota archaeon. RNAcentral describes it as "bacterial SSU rRNA". It matches the Rfam family "Archaeal small subunit ribosomal RNA", at positions 102 to 859 of the family's 1478-position model. The record is from RNAcentral. Lineage: Archaea; Thermoproteati; Nitrososphaerota.
AGUCAACAUAACCAGAGGACGUGGAUAAACUCGGGAAACUGAGGCUAAACCGCGAUAGACCAAGAUACCUGGAAUGGUUUUUGAUCAAAAUCUAUAUGGCCUUUGGAUUGGACUGCGACCGAUCAGGCUAUUGGUGAGGUAAUGGCCCACCAAACCAGUAACCGGUACGGGCUCUGAGAGGAGGAGCCCGGAGAUGGGUACUGAGAAAAGGACCCAGGCCCUAUGGGGCGCAGCAGGCGCGAAACCUCUGCAAUAGGCGAAAGCCUGACAGGGUUAUUCUGAGUGACUUUCGCUAAGAAAGUCUUUUGACAUCUCUAAAAAUGGUGUAGAAUAAGGGGUGGGCAAGUCUGGUGUCAGCCGCCGCGGUAAUACCAGCACCCCGAGUGGUCGGGACGAUUAUUGGGCCUAAAGCAUCCGUAGCCGGUUUUACAAGUCCUCCGUUAAAUCCAACUGCUUAACAGAUGGGCCGCGGAGGAUACUAUAAGACUAGGAGGCAGGAGAGGCAAGCGGUACUCAGUGGGUAGGGGUAAAAUCCGUUGAUCCAUUGAAGACCACCAGUGGCGAAGGCGGCUUGCCAGAAUGCGCUCGACGGUGAGGGAUGAAAGCUGGGGGAGCAAACCGGAUUAGAUACCCGGGUAGUCCCAGCUGUAAACGAUGCAGACUCGGUGAUGGACUAGCUUAAUGCUAGUCCAGUGCCGCAGGGAAGCCGUUAAGUCUGCCGCCUGGGUAGUACGGUCGCAAGACUGAAACUUAA